Molecule: ribosomal RNA, 493 nt
Filed under: Selenomonas sputigena
Lineage: Bacteria; Bacillati; Bacillota; Negativicutes; Selenomonadales; Selenomonadaceae
Description: bacterial SSU rRNA
Rfam family: Bacterial small subunit ribosomal RNA
Source: RNAcentral
GACGAACGCUGGCGGCGUGCUUAACACAUGCAAGUCGAACGGGAACCUUUAUUUCGGUAAAGGUGAGAGUGGCAAACGGGUGAGUAACACGUAGGCAACCUGCCGACAGGAUGGGGACAACAUUCCGAAAGGAAUGCUAAUACCGAAUGGAGUCCGGGGAUGGCAUCAUCCACGGAUAAAAGAUGGCCUCUGAAUAUGCUAUCGCCUGUCGAUGGGCCUGCGUCUGAUUAGCCAGUUGGCGGGGUAACGGCCCACCAAAGCGACGAUCAGUAGCCGGUCUGAGAGGAUGAACGGCCACAUUGGGACUGAGACACGGCCCAGACUCCUACGGGAGGCAGCAGUGGGGAAUCUUCCACAAUGGGCGAAAGCCUGAUGGAGCAACGCCGCGUGAGUGAAGAAGGUCUUCGGAUCGUAAAGCUCUGUUGCACGGGACGAAAACCGAGCUUGAGAAUAUUGAGUUUGGGUGACGGUACCGAGCGAGGAAGCCACGGCU